AGGGGUGUGUCUUUCUUCAUUAACAGUAAUGCAUAUUUCCCAGUGACAUGUGUGGCCGAAGGGUCCAGAUUACUUGAGAAACUUGUUUGUGUUUGGUUGCCUGCCUGCUUGAAACAAACAAGAACACAAGUCAGAAUAUUCCAACACAGUGUGUGUCUUUUUGUCACUCACUCUUCAGCAUCUUGUUACAAGCACAGGAAGAACUGCUGCUCUCUUUUUUGGUGCAUGGUUUGAUUUUUUUUUAUUAUUAUUUUUUUCUGUUGAGCGUUGAUGAAAAAUUUGAUCCCAAAUGUCAUAGAAUUACUUUUUGGGCAAUUAUAUCCUCAAGAAAUGCCAUGAGAUGAAAAUAUGUCAGUCUUAUGAAGACAUGUGAAUUUUGGCAGUGUGAACUGAAGGUUUGAAUUUACGGUUUGCCGCGGUAGGGCUACUUUCUGUCACCAUCUGAUCCUGUCCAGCCUUUUCUAAUGGAAUCCCUUUCUGGUUCAGCCUUUAACUGGAACAUAAUUUUUUUCUUACCCUCUAAAGUGUUUGGUCUCUUUAUUGUAAAACCUCUCCUGGAAAUGUGUACAGAAUU
Molecule: long non-coding RNA, 574 nt
Filed under: Rattus norvegicus (Norway rat)
Lineage: Eukaryota; Metazoa; Chordata; Mammalia; Rodentia; Muridae
Description: long non-coding RNA NONRATT006911
Source: RNAcentral